UACGGAGGGGGCUAGCGUUGUUCGGAAUUACUGGGCGUAAAGCGCGCGUAGGCGGACCUGCAAGUCGGAUGUGAAAGCCCACGGCUCAACCGUGGAAGUGCAUCCGAAACUGCAUGGCUAGAGUCUCGGAGAGGAAGGUGGAAUGCUUGGUGUAGAGGUGAAAUUCGUAGAUAUCAAGCAGAACACCUGCGGCGAAGGCGGCCUUCUGGACGAUGACUGACGCUGAGACGCGAAAGCCUGGGGAGCAAACAGG
Molecule: ribosomal RNA, 253 nt
Filed under: uncultured bacterium
Lineage: Bacteria
Description: partial 16S ribosomal RNA
Rfam family: Bacterial small subunit ribosomal RNA
Source: RNAcentral